This 499-nucleotide ribosomal RNA is filed under the name uncultured bacterium. RNAcentral describes it as "partial 16S ribosomal RNA". It matches the Rfam family "Bacterial small subunit ribosomal RNA", at positions 28 to 507 of the family's 1533-position model. The record is from RNAcentral.
GACGAACGCUGGCGGCGUGCUUAACACAUGCAAGUCGAACGGGCCCGCUCUCUUUUUUGGGGGUGGGUUGAGUGGCGAACGGGUGAGUAUCACGUGAGUAACCUGCCCCCUGCUCCUGGAUAACUGCUUGAAAGGGCGGCUAAUACGGGGUGUGCCGGCUGGUCCGCAUGGGCCUGGUCGGGAUAGUUUCAUCUUCGGGUGUUUCGGUGGGGGAUGGGCUCGCGGCCUAUCAGCUUGUUGGUGGGGUGAUGGCCCACCAAGGCGGUGACGGGUAGCUGGCCUGAGAGGGUGGGCGGCCACACUGGGACUGAGACACGGCCCAGACUCCUGCGGGAGGCAGCAGUGGGGGGUAUGGCGCAAUGGGCGGAAGCCUGAUGCAGCGACGUCGCGUGAGGGAUGGAGGCCUUCGGGUUGUGAACCUCUUUCUCCGGUGGUGAAGGCCCUGUCCGUUGCGGCGGGGUUGACGGUAGCCGGGUAUGAAGCGCCGGCUAACUACGUG